Molecule: transfer RNA, 74 nt
Filed under: Terniopsis sessilis
Lineage: Eukaryota; Viridiplantae; Streptophyta; Magnoliopsida; Malpighiales; Podostemaceae
Also listed under: 2 other names
Description: tRNA-fMet
Rfam family: tRNA
About the family: Transfer RNA (tRNA) molecules are approximately 80 nucleotides in length. Their secondary structure includes four short double-helical elements and three loops (D, anti-codon, and T loops).
Source: RNAcentral
GGCGGGGUAGAGCAGUUUGGUAGCUCGCAAGGCUCAUAACCUUGAGGUCACGGGUUCAAAUCCUGUCCCCGCAU